GACGAACCGUGCGAACGUUGUUCGGAAUCACUGGGCAUAAAGGGCGCGUAGGCGGCUUAUCAAGUCAGGGGUGAAAUCCGGCAGCUUAACUGUCGAAGUGCCUUCGAUACUGGCAAGCUCGAGGGAGGUAGGGGUCUGUGGAACUUCUGGUGGAGCGGUGAAAUGCGUUGAUAUCAGAAGGAACGCCGGUGGCGAAAGCGACGGACUGGACCUCUUCUGACGCUGAGGCGCGAAAGCUAGGGGAGCAAACGGG
Molecule: ribosomal RNA, 253 nt
Filed under: uncultured bacterium
Lineage: Bacteria
Description: partial 16S ribosomal RNA
Rfam family: Bacterial small subunit ribosomal RNA
Source: RNAcentral